This 902-nucleotide ribosomal RNA is filed under the name Talaromyces kabodanensis. RNAcentral's name for it is "eukaryotic LSU rRNA". It matches the Rfam family "Eukaryotic large subunit ribosomal RNA", at positions 37 to 960 of the family's 3401-position model. The record is from RNAcentral. Lineage: Eukaryota; Fungi; Ascomycota; Eurotiomycetes; Eurotiales; Trichocomaceae.
AGCAUAUCAUAAGCGGAGGAAAAGAAACCAACCGGGAUUGCCUCAGUAACGGCGAGUGAAGCGGCAAGAGCUCAAAUUUGAAAUCUGGCCCCCUCGGGGUCGAGUUGUAAUUUGCAGAGGAUGCUUCGGGUGCGGUCCCCAUCUAAGUGCCCUGGAACGGGCCGUCAUAGAGGGUGAGAAUCCCGUCUGGGAUGGGCGGCCGCGCCCGUGUGAAGCUCCUUCGACGAGUCGAGUUGUUUGGGAAUGCAGCUCUAAGCGGGUGGUAAAUUUCAUCUAAAGCUAAAUACUGGCCGGAGACCGAUAGCGCACAAGUAGAGUGAUCGAAAGAUGAAAAGCACUUUGAAAAGAGAGUUAAACAGCACGUGAAAUUGUUGAAAGGGAAGCGUUGUCCACCAGACUCGCCCGGGGGGGCUCAGCCGGCACGUGUGCCGGUGUACUCCCCUCCGGGCGGGCCAGCAUCGGUUUGGGCGGCUGGUGAAAGGCCCCGGGAAUGUAACACCCUCCGGGGUGCCUUAUAGCCCGGGGUGCCAUGCAGCCAGCCUGGACCGAGGCCCGCGCUUCGGCGAGGAUGCUGGCGUAAUGGUGGUCAACGGCCCGUCUUGAAACACGGACCAAGGAGUCUAACAUCUAUGCGAGUGUUCGGGUGUCAAACCCGUCCGCGCAGUGAAAGCGAACGGAGGUGGGAGCCCCUCGGGGCGCACCAUCGACCGAUCCUGAUGUCUUCGGAUGGAUUUGAGUAAGAGCAUAGCUGUUGGGACCCGAAAGAUGGUGAACUAUGCCUGAAUAGGGCGAAGCCAGAGGAAACUCUGGUGGAGGCUCGCAGCGGUUCUGACGUGCAAAUCGAUCGUCAAAUUUGGGUAUAGGGCGAAAGACUAAUCGAACCAUCUGGUAGCUGGUCUGCG